Molecule: long non-coding RNA, 1324 nt
Filed under: Anser cygnoides (Swan goose)
Lineage: Eukaryota; Metazoa; Chordata; Aves; Anseriformes; Anatidae
Description: lncRNA (ENSACDG00005016103.1)
Source: RNAcentral
GGGCCCACUGACAGAUCACAGGCAGCUGAAAGCACAAUGCGUGUGCUGCAGUUUAGUACUAAGCAGGGAAAGGAAAAAAAAAAAAAGCCAAAAAUACAAGCCAGAUAAAAACGAGCAGGCUUAUGUAUUAACAGACACAUAAAGCAAACAGCAGAGAAUCAAGUGGAAAAUCAUUUUGUACAAAGCAGUGCUGGAAGAGAACCGGAUUUGGACAGGAGCAUUUUGGAGCAGUUUGGAAGCGGGGCAUCAUCUAUGCCCAUAUCUCUGCCUUCUUAUUGCAAGCCAAAAGCUAGAUUUUUCAAAGACCUAAACUCCAGAUUUGAGACAUGAUCAAUUUUUCCUUCAUGAACAUGUCAAUAAAUAUAUAUAUGUAUCAGAAAUUUGGUUUUCUGCUAAGAUUUUGUGUUGAUUUUGCUCUUGUUUAAAAGCCCACCAAUGUUACAAGUUCACGCCGGUUUCAUUCUCUGGAAUUGAUCUGUGCAUACACAGUGGGCAAACAGAGAUAUUGCAAAAACCUGGAUAAAAUGUCCAUCACUCCCCUUCUCCUUUUGAAGAAGAGAAUACAGCUGUGUCUUGGGAAAGCUGCUGGUACCACAGAAGGGCAAGCCACAUGUGAGACCACCUCUGUUCUUGCCUCCCCCAGCCAAAAGUUUUCUCUGACUUGUUAAGCAAAAUACAGACAGCAUGGCCUGCCAUUCCUGCAGAACUUGCUGGCCUUCUGACGCCUGAAAUAACUGGCAGACCUGUCAAAAAUGACCUUCUUUCGACAACAACUCUCUCUUUUUUAUUCCCCCCCCCCCCAGGUAGGGGGUGGGGAGGUUGGAAAACUUAAAGAUCAAGUCACAGCUGCAUGCGGUACCUAAUUAAACAAGUGUAAGAAAGCAGAGAAAGGUCAGGUUGUCAAAAAUCAUUGCUGUAUCUUUACUGGAUUGUAUUUAGAGACUGAUAGCAGCAAAGAAAAUAACUCAAUAACGUGAAUGAGACCGGAAUAACAAACUGACUCCAGGCGCAGGCUAGUUUUGAAACACAAAGGACUAAGGCUUCCCAAUUUAUGUAUAUAUAUAUAUGUGGAUGGAUAUGUAUGUGUGUAUCUACACACAGGAGACACAAAUCCAGGGGAAACAAGCCCUGGAAAUGAAAAGAAAAGUGUUUGCAAAGAGUAAAGUAAACAGAUGACAUUAACAUGGGGAAGGAGAUAGAACAGGAGAAGUUCAAACAGGAAAUGUGGCAGAAAUUAGAGGCUGGAAACACACAGGCAGAAGGAGAUAAAAGGAGAAGGAACUGAGAAAAUAAAUUAAGGACUGGAUAGGAAGGGGAAAUGUGA